UGGGGAAUAUUGCACAAUGGGCGCAAGCCUGAUGCAGCCAUGCCGCGUGUGUGAAGAAGGCCUUCGGGUUGUAAAGUACUUUCAGCGGGGAGGAAGGGAGUAAAGUUAAUACCUUUGCUCAUUGACGUUACCCGCAGAAGAAGCACCGGCUAACUCCGUGCCAGCAGCCGCGGUAAUACGGAGGGUGCAAGCGUUAAUCGGAAUUACUGGGCGUAAAGCGCACGCAGGCGGUUUGUUAAGUCAGAUGUGAAAUCCUCGGGCUCAACCUGGGAACUGCAUCUGGUACUGGCAAGCUGGAGUCUCGGAGAGGGGGGUAGAAUUCCCGGUGUAGCGAUGAAAUGCGUAGAGAUCUGGAGGAAUACCGGUGGCGAAGGCGGCCCCCUGGACGAAGACUGACGCUCAGGUGCGAAAGCGUGGGGAGCAAACAGG
RNAcentral lists this ribosomal RNA (429 nucleotides) under Chloroflexota bacterium. RNAcentral describes it as "Chloroflexi bacterium partial 16S ribosomal RNA". It matches the Rfam family "Bacterial small subunit ribosomal RNA", at positions 355 to 776 of the family's 1533-position model. The record is from RNAcentral. Lineage: Bacteria; Bacillati; Chloroflexota.